GACGAACGCUGGCGGCGUGCUUAACACAUGCAAGUCGAACGGAAAGGCCCUGCUUUUGUGGGGUGCUCGAGUGGCGAACGGGUGAGUAACACGUGAGUAACCUGCCCUUGACUUUGGGAUAACUUCAGGAAACUGGGGCUAAUACCGGAUAGGAGCUCCUGCCGCAUGGUGGGGGUUGGAAAGUUUCGGCGGUUGGGGAUGGACUCGCGGCUUAUCAGCUUGUUGGUGGGGUAGUGGCUUACCAAGGCUUUGACGGGUAGCCGGCCUGAGAGGGUGACCGGCCACAUUGGGACUGAGAUACGGCCCAGACUCCUACGGGAGGCAGCGGGGGGGAAUAUUGCACAAUGGGCGGAAGCCUGAGGCAGCAACGCCGCGUGCGGGAUGACGGCCUUCGGGUUGUAAACCGCUUUCGCCUGUGACGAAGCGUGAGUGACGGUAAUGGGUAAAGAAGCACCGGCUAACUACGUG
Molecule: ribosomal RNA, 468 nt
Filed under: uncultured bacterium
Lineage: Bacteria
Description: partial 16S ribosomal RNA
Rfam family: Bacterial small subunit ribosomal RNA
Source: RNAcentral